RNAcentral lists this ribosomal RNA (501 nucleotides) under uncultured bacterium. RNAcentral's name for it is "partial 16S ribosomal RNA". It matches the Rfam family "Bacterial small subunit ribosomal RNA", at positions 30 to 523 of the family's 1533-position model. The record is from RNAcentral.
AUUGAACGCUGGCGGCAGGCUUAACACAUGCAAGUCGAGCGGGGUGAUGGUGCUUGCACUACCACUUAGCGGCGGACGGGUGAGUAAUGCUUAGGAAUCUGCCUAUUAGUGGGGGACAACAUCUCGAAAGGGAUGCUAAUACCGCAUACGUCCUACGGGAGAAAGCAGGGGAUCUUCGGACCUUGCGCUAAUAGAUGAGCCUAAGUCGGAUUAGCUAGUUGGUGGGGUAAAGGCCUACCAAGGCGACGAUCUGUAGCGGGUCUGAGAGGAUGAUCCGCCACACUGGGACUGAGACACGGCCCAGACUCCUACGGGAGGCAGCAGUGGGGAAUAUUGGACAAUGGGGGGAACCCUGAUCCAGCCAUGCCGCGUGUGUGAAGAAGGCCUUAUGGUUGUAAAGCACUUUAAGCGAGGAGGAGGCUCUUUUGGUUAAUACCCAAGAUGAGUGGACGUUACUCGCAGAAUAAGCACCGGCUAACUCUGUGCCAGCCGCCGCGGUAA